AUGUGUCAUCAAAUCCAACUGCAAGCUACACGACAAGCUAUGAUUGAAUACCAUGUACAAGGAGUGCGUCCACUGACAUACGGACACAAGAGAUAUUCAGUUAUGAGGAUUAGGAUAUUAAUGAUCGUUCAGUCAUUGAGGAUUAAAAGAGGCAUCAAUGCUCCAGUAGAGGUGGUAUUGAAGUCGUGGCUGUCAGUAGACCUUUUAUUGAUGCUAACUACAUGCCAUGGAGUGAGUCCAGUGACAUACAGAUAUGAGAGAUAUUCGGUUAUGAGGAUUGGGGAAAUUAAUGAUCAUUCAGUCAUUGCGGAUUUGAAAGGAGACAUCAAGGCAGCAAAUGGGGCAUCUGCUCCACUGUGA
This 360-nucleotide ribosomal RNA is filed under the name Triticum aestivum (bread wheat). Its description in RNAcentral is "partial small subunit ribosomal RNA". The record is from RNAcentral. Lineage: Eukaryota; Viridiplantae; Streptophyta; Magnoliopsida; Poales; Poaceae.